This is a long non-coding RNA of Vigna unguiculata (cowpea), 391 nucleotides long. RefSeq lists it as uncharacterized. The record is from RefSeq and is a predicted model, not a curated record. Lineage: Eukaryota; Viridiplantae; Streptophyta; Magnoliopsida; Fabales; Fabaceae.
CAUCUCGGCGCCUCCUUUCCUUCGGUCUAUCCUUUCUUUGUUGCCGCUCCAAGUCACUUUCUGAUUCUGUGAAGAAGAUCAAUCAGGGAGAUAUGGAAGAUUGAAGCUGUAAGAUUUUCCAAGAAAAGGAACAAAGGAACAAACAGACAUUUGCAAAACAGAGCAGCAAUGAACCCUGAAGGUUAAUAUAUGGAGGAAGUUCAGUGAACCUGAUGGGAAACGUAGCUGAGACCCGUCUCUCAAACGACGACGUCUCUGUUCAAGUCAACACUCGUAUUAAAGAGUAGAAGUCAUAUUAAAUAUAGAGUUAGCAUGUAAUUUUAUGUAUUAUUUUAUUAAAUUUCUACUGUGUUUUUCGUUUCAUUUAAAGAUGUAAUGAGAUAACAAGUCA